UACGGAGGGGGCGAGCGUUAUUCGGAAUUAUUGGGCGUAAAGGGCGCGUAGGCGGCUUUCUAAGUCAAAGGUGAAAUCCCUCGGCUCAACUGAGGAACUGCCUUUGAAACUGGAAAGCUUGAGGCCGGGAGGGGGUAGCGGAAUUCCCAGUGUAGCGGUGAAAUGCGUAGAUAUUGGGAGGAACACCAGUGGCGAAGGCGGCUACCUGGACCGGUUCUGACGCUGAUGCGCGAAAGCGUGGGUAGCAAACAGGAUUAGAAACCCUAGUAGUCC
This 273-nucleotide ribosomal RNA is filed under the name uncultured bacterium. RNAcentral's name for it is "partial 16S ribosomal RNA". It matches the Rfam family "Bacterial small subunit ribosomal RNA", at positions 524 to 796 of the family's 1533-position model. The record is from RNAcentral.